Molecule: long non-coding RNA, 1571 nt
Filed under: Homo sapiens (human)
Lineage: Eukaryota; Metazoa; Chordata; Mammalia; Primates; Hominidae
Description: long non-coding RNA NONHSAT188989.1
Source: RNAcentral
AAAGAAGUAUGGAAGGCAGGGGUAGCAAGGCGGAGCUGUGCCCUGUCACGGCACACAGAGAAUGCCCAUGGAUUUUCACAAAUGCUGUUAAAAUGUGAAAAGAAGGUGUUUCUUUUUUCUUCAAUCUGAGCUUCAAGCUAAUAUGGGCAUUCAGCUAAAUCCCUCCUGGGUCCUGAAACAGUAUGUGGUUUUGGAUUUCAAAGGUAAUCCCUACAACUUCUGGGAGAGGUGCAAGUAUCAACCAGUUGGAGACACAGGGAAAGGGUGAUAUAAUGCAGAAAGUGACUUGAACAAAUUUACACAGAAGGCAGUGAAGUGUGAUUCAAAUUCAAGCAGUCUAGACUGUGCCCCACACAACUCUGCAGCAUAACCUUGCAGUAUGAAAAUAAUGCCUCUCAUGCAGGUCAGGGAUAUGAGAUCCAGUGACUUACCCAAAGUUUCAAAGGAAAGAUGUAACAGAGCCAUCUCUGAACUUCUGCUCUUGGGAAUCUACACACUCUUUCCACUAGUUCUGACCUUAGCAGGUGUUUGACCCAGGACUUGCCCAACUUGGUUUCCAUUUGUAUAGAACUAAUGCCAAAUUUCAAAAGAAAAUAUUACAUACCAUAAUCAAUAAAAACAAAAUAUCAAACAUGUACAAGUCUGACAGGAAAACCACUGCUGCUUCUGCUGCCAAUUUGUUAAGCAUCGUGACAAGAGGAGUGACCGAGAAGAUGGAAAAGCCCGGUCUGCCUAGUGCCCCUUCAGUUGGCAGGAUUGCUGGCACAGGGCCGUCUAACUGUGCUGGAAGGUGUUUUAGAAGGGACAAGGGGCACUUUGGGGAGAGGAGUCACGGAUCUCCUGGCUUGGCCAUGAUUCAGCUUUUGGAGAUUUCAUUUAGAAUCUGUGAUCUUUCCCAUAUUCUUCCUAAAAGGGAUUGCCCUUCCUGGCCCCUGCAAUAUAGCAAGGAUGGAUUUUCAACAAAGCAAAUAAAGGACUGAUUUUCACAAGAUCUGAACCCCGAGGAGCAGAUUGUCAACCUUUCUUCUCUGCUGAGGACAAAGACAAGAUCACAGACCAUUUUCAAAACUUCCAUGUUUCCAGAGGCUCCCUGUAAAGACUACAAUCCUUUCUCUAGGGGUUCACACAGUGUUUUCUACUCAAGAGUCACAGGGGAGUUUAAAAACAUGCAUAUUCCCGAGUUCAACUCUUCGAUUUUAAUUUUGCAGUUGGUGGUAGAGUUCAGGAUUUCUCCUUCCUGCCAUCAUGUGAAGAUGGAUGUGUUUGCUUUCCCUUCAGCCAUAAUUAUAAGUUUCCUGAGGCCUCCCUAGCCCUGCAGAACUGGUUAUCAAAAGCAAGGAAAGUUUGAGAAGCUUUCACAGCCAAGAAGAGCCUGAAGAGACAUGAUAAACAAAUAAAAUGGUGAAUCCUGGAUGCAGCCCUGGAAAAACAACAAAGCGACCUCAGGUUAUGUCUUCUUUUAUAAGACUACCCACUGCCUCUUCUCAAGUAUAUCUGAAGUAUGGCUGGUUGGAGUAUAUCAGGACCCUCAGAGGAGAAAAGCAUAUAAAACCAGCACACCUGAACCCAGG